GACGAACCGUGCAAACGUUGUUCGGAAUCACUGGGCUUAAAGGGCGCGUAGGCGGGCAGCCAAGUCUGUGGUGAAAUCUUUCGGCUCAACCGGAAAACUGCCGUGGAUACUGGCUGUCUCGAGGGAGGUAGGGGCAUGUGGAACUUCCGGUGGAGCGGUGAAAUGCGUUGAUAUCGGAAGGAACUCCGGUGGCGAAAGCGACGUGCUGGACCUCUUCUGACGCUGAGGCGCGAAAGCUAGGGGAGCAAACGGG
RNAcentral lists this ribosomal RNA (253 nucleotides) under uncultured Gemmata sp. Its description in RNAcentral is "partial 16S ribosomal RNA". It matches the Rfam family "Bacterial small subunit ribosomal RNA", at positions 524 to 776 of the family's 1533-position model. Lineage: Bacteria; Pseudomonadati; Planctomycetota; Planctomycetia; Gemmatales; Gemmataceae. The record is from RNAcentral.